This is a long non-coding RNA of Electrophorus electricus (electric eel), 504 nucleotides long. The record is from Ensembl. Lineage: Eukaryota; Metazoa; Chordata; Actinopteri; Gymnotiformes; Gymnotidae.
CUGAAUUGAGCUACAGUAACUGGGUAAUGGUUUCAAGUUUUGUAUCGUGGAUAAGUAACUGACAUGUUUAAAAAUAAUACAGAACAAAACAUACCAGACUAAUUUAUUUGCCGUCGGGACAUGUGGACAACAACGCCUCUGAAUAGCGCGGGUGUGAUAUUCAGAUUUGCGGACUGGAGAGAGCCAUCACUGCCCUUCAGAAACAGGAUUCCCUUCUGAACAUGUGAAUGUAUGGAGGUACAACUUCUUCAACAUAACGAAAAUGGGGCCAUCUCUUGUUCUUCAGUGUUUUCUUCUGGCAGCCGUGGUUAUUCGAGUGAUCUAUUCGCAGUCAGAGGGAGGGACACAAGCAGCAAGUCUGAUCUGCUUUCCUGCGAUGCUUCCGUCUGCUUUUGCCGGCAUCGCCAGCUUCCCCAUCUGUUGGCCAGUCUCCGGGUAACAACCCGCAUAAAUGAAAACAGAAGCACGAAUAAACAUCAUGGAAAAAUUUAUAUUAGUUAUGCA